Molecule: long non-coding RNA, 2267 nt
Organism: Triticum dicoccoides
Lineage: Eukaryota; Viridiplantae; Streptophyta; Magnoliopsida; Poales; Poaceae
Exons: 6
Source: RefSeq, a predicted model, not a curated record
CAGUCGGCCCCCUCUCUUCUUCUCCCCUCCCCGCCGCCAUCCAUCCCGAGCCAGAUUCGCCGCCAUCCCAGUCCCUCCGUCUCACCGCUCGCCGCCACCCAUCCCGAGCCAGAUCCGCCGCUACCCCGGUCCCUCCGUCUCACUACUUGCCGCCACCCAUCCUGAGCCAGAUCCGCCGCUACCCCGGUCCCUCCGUCUCACCGCUCGCUGCCACCCAUCCCGAGCCAGAUCCAUCACCGCCACCUAUCUCGACCACGAGUUCUCCACCAUCGGGGACGAACAAGCCAAGCCCCCUCCUCCCGUUCGUUCGCCGCCUCCGUCGCCCAUCUCCAUCAACUCCACCGGCGAACCCCUCUGCCGCCCGCACACGCAUGGCCUCCGGCCCCUGCUGCUCUCCCCGCCUCACUCUCCCCGUCUCCUUGCUCCGCCUCGACAGGUCGGCGCUGCCAGUCCAAGGUCGCGCUGCCAUGGCUGCGGCCAGUCCAAGAUCGCGCCGCCCGCUUCGUCCUUGCCCGUGAUGUCCUCAUCGAGGUCCUUGCCGGUGGCCCCUCCGUCUUGUGCUCGAGCCGCCUUCGGCGCACCCCUUCCCCUCUGCUAGCCCCUGCCGCCUGCCGUCUCCGACUUUGCGGCCUCCCGUUGAUCUACUAGGCAAGCACGGUGUCAAGAUCUUCAGGAUGGUUCAUCUCCCUCCAGCUCCUGGCUAGGGCACCCAUGGAGGCGAUGAUGGAGGCCUGCAUGGAUCUACAACAUGAGGGUGAAGGUACCGUGAGGAUGCCCACCAAUGUUCUCAAAACCUGAAAACCAGUUAAAUCAAGAUAUGAGCCUGAACUUCAGAUUCGUUGUGUGGAUCUAGUAAGUACGAGGAGAUCAGCCCCCCAAAUGUGGAGGACUUAUGCUACAUCACCGACAACACCUACAUGAAGCAGGAGCUUGUUAAGAUGGAGAGGGAUAUACUGAACAAUCUCAAGUUUGAGAUGGGCAAUCCUACCACAAGACCUUCCUAAGGAUGUUCUGUUUGCUUCCUUCCCUACCGCUAAGACCCAGAUUUGAUCGAAUAGCUCGCUUCUUUUUCUGGCAGUUUCGCAAGAUUCGCCUGCCAGCAAGUGGGCUCACCAACAACCCAUUUGUAAAUAGACCUUGUGAAUAUCUUUGAGGUGUUCCUGCCUCAACUGCAUCAGCACAGAUGCUGCAACCCAUCACAGCGAGUUCCUCGGCCUCCGUUACGGCCGAUGCAGCAGUAUCUUAGGACACCAUUCAUGCCUCGCUGCCACUUCUACAUUUUCUUUCUCUGUUCUAGUUACUUAUGUGAUUUAUUCUUGGUACUUGUUGUUGUUGUAUUCUGAUUACUUGUUGGGACCGGUAUUGAGGGAUUUUGCUGGUUGCUUUGAGUACAUUUAACUUGGAGUUCUCCGGUACUCCUAGAUUUGCUACUCAAACAAAUUUUGAGUACUUGCACUGGAAAUGAUUGAAAUACUCCUGGUACUUGCAUAGGUUUAAAAAUGACUUGCAUAGGUUUAAAAAUACUCCUGGUACUUGUGAUGAAACCAACAGGCAACUUGCUAACAUCUUUUAGUGUUCAAUCAUCUUUUCAUUCUUAAUAGUAUCUCCUAUUAGGUGAUCUGAUUAGGAAGUGUAAGUACAAUGAUCUGGUAGGUAAUUGGGCUGCUUAAAUAUUUCCUCUGAUUAGUAAUUUAAUUUACCAAUAGGUACUGGCAGUAAAACAAACUGACAUCCAAUCAGUCUCAGGGAUUGAAUGAUUUAGUUACCACAUUGUGUCAGUUAGUCUGCUCUUUGUUCCAACAUGAAUGAUAUAUAUUACUUAAUCAUGUGUAUUUUUCUUUCCUUUUUCUAUGUUGUAAGUGGAUGUAUAGUUUGCCAGUUUUUAUCUCUGUUUGAUGGGUUUUAACCAAAGCUCCUGAGUACUCGCUUGCUUUGUUUUUUUAAGAAACUACAAAUUGUAUGGGCAUUUGAAGUUGUGGCUUAUAAUUGAUCAAUAUUGUUCUGUAACGUGCAGAUGCUGAUCAGGACAAAGAAGUCUGAGGAAGCAUAGUUCUAACAUUGUUGUCAACUAUCAAGUUUUGCAUUUAUGAAGCCCUUUAUACUGCUCAUGUUUCUUUGUGAAGCAUAGUUCAUAUGUGUGUAUGAUGUAGCAGAACUUGUGAUUGUACACUUGUGGAGCAGAACUGGCUCAUGUGAUUGUACACUUGUGGAGCUUGUUAUAUGAUUGUAAACUUGAUGCUUAUCACAUUUGUAUGUGUGUUAUAUGA